This 24-nucleotide unclassified non-coding RNA is filed under the name Candidatus Liberibacter asiaticus. RNAcentral describes it as "partial 16S-23S ribosomal RNA intergenic spacer". The record is from RNAcentral. Lineage: Bacteria; Pseudomonadati; Pseudomonadota; Alphaproteobacteria; Hyphomicrobiales; Rhizobiaceae.
UGCGGCUGGAUCACCUCCUUUCUA